This 23-nucleotide microRNA is filed under the name Anopheles gambiae (African malaria mosquito). RNAcentral's name for it is "aga-miR-10375a-5p". Lineage: Eukaryota; Metazoa; Arthropoda; Insecta; Diptera; Culicidae. The record is from miRBase by way of RNAcentral.
ACAUCAUAGAAAGUGUUAAUGCG